UUAGCAGUAGUAUAUUUAGUAUAACUUCCUUCCAAGAAGUGGGUCCGAGUGUUUGGUUGCUAAA
Molecule: transfer RNA, 64 nt
Filed under: Bactronophorus thoracites
Lineage: Eukaryota; Metazoa; Mollusca; Bivalvia; Myida; Teredinidae
Description: tRNA-Gly
Source: RNAcentral